Molecule: long non-coding RNA, 1736 nt
Filed under: Homo sapiens (human)
Lineage: Eukaryota; Metazoa; Chordata; Mammalia; Primates; Hominidae
Description: non-protein coding lnc-TMCO5A-7:1
Source: RNAcentral
AUUUCCAUUCCUCUCGCAUACAGCCUCUGUUGUGCGGGCCGGGCCUGCAGAGGGUAGCCGCGGCUGCCUACGAACAAAGCCCCAUUCAUCCCCAGGGACGCUUCCUCCCCGCCGGCCCGCGGCCGCAGAUGGGCUGGCCUGGGCACGCCAUCCUGCAACCCGGGCGCGCGGCCCGGCCUGGCGCGCACAGGGCUCCGAUUCAGGACGCCGGGGCUGGCCGGGGCGACCCGGGCUGCUUUUUCAGCAGGCCCCACAAUGAGGAUCGGCUGAAACUCGCUUUCAUUUCUGGGCCGGGGACAGGCAGACACUGAGUCCUUUCAGCCGGGAAAUCCUCAGUUUACUCACGGCUUGUUGAGAACGAAGAUGUCAAUUUCCACUGCCCUCUCCCGGCCUCCCCCACCCUUGCCCCCUCGGGAUGGUACGGUCCGAAGUUUCCCGAGUUGUGAGAGGACUUUGUUUCUCCUCUGCGGCCUCUGAAAUCCCGACGAAAGGGUCAUUUCCUGACUUUUGUGUCUCUUCAAUCCAGUGCCUUGAAAGUUCUUACCCUCUUGUUGUGACUGAGUGCAUAAUUGCAAGGCUGCUCCCUAACUUUUUUUCAGAGCUUUAACAUUCCUCUAGGUUCAAGUUUGGGACCGUGGCUUCACAACAAAGACCAGUUUUUUCCUCCCCCUCCUCACUCCUGGGAAAAAGGAAAAAAGGAAAAGAAAGAAACCAAAACGCGUUUGUUCAGCAACCAUGUUCACAGAUUUCGAGCACACUUCUUCUGGCCCCACAGAUAAGAAGCAGAUAAGAUCUAAGAGGGGAAGAGACUUGUCCGCCCUCCAAAAGAAGCUGGUUCAUCCCAGUAAAAAUUGCCUCAAACAAACUUAAAAAUAAUUUUCAAAAAGAAAGCCUCCAAGAAAAAAGUGUUGUUCAAAAAUAUGUUUUCUUUUCUCCCUUUGUGUCAGAAAAAGUUUUCUCUGAGUUGGUGGGAAAAGGGUGGGAACCCAGGUUUGAGCUGAGGAUUAGAAAAAAACCUUCAAGUAUCUUUCCAAAGAAUGCUCUCUGUGUUUCUUUCACUUCCUGCAUUUUGAACAUUGCUACUCUCUCUCUUCAAAGUACAGUCAUUCCCCCGUAUCCGUUGGGAUUGGUUCCAGGACACAUCCCCACCCAUAACCCAAACCCUGGGUGCUGAAGUCCCGUAUAUAAAAUGCAACAUAUUUGCAUAUAACCUAUGCACAUCCACCCUUAUACUUUACUUCGUCUCUAAAUUAACUUACGAUGCCUUAAACAAUGCCUACACAUCACUUGAUUCUCCUGGAUUCAAUGUAGUACUUGGCGUGGGACAAAUUCAAGGUUUGCUUUUUGGAACUUUGUGGAAUUUAUUUUCUGAAUAUUUUUUAUCUGCGGUUGGUUGAGUCCAUGGAUGCAGAACUGACGGAUACAGAGGGCCGACUGUAUUGCAUCCUUGGUGUGGCUAAAAAAUACAACGAAAUAAAAACUGGUUACUUGCUACUCCAAGACUUCUUUCGUCCUGCAGGAAAAAACCUUCACAAUCUUAAAAUGGAGAUAGGAUUACUUUGCAUGGGUUAUUUCUAAAUGUACAAAAUGAAUCAGUAUACACACAGAUAGAGAGAGAGGAGUGCUUGUCAUAUACCAAGUACCAUACUAAGCACUUUACACGCAUUCCCUCAUUGAAUGCUCACAAUAGCCUAUGAGGAAGAUGCUAUUACUACCCCCAUUUUACAGAAAACAGA